Beta vulgaris subsp. vulgaris (sugar beet) is the source of this 1632-nucleotide long non-coding RNA. RefSeq lists it as uncharacterized. Lineage: Eukaryota; Viridiplantae; Streptophyta; Magnoliopsida; Caryophyllales; Amaranthaceae. The record is from RefSeq and is a predicted model, not a curated record. The transcript has 3 exons.
GCAAAAGAUUUUCCAUGAUUUUAGGCAAAUCUUCUACUUAAAUCACGGUGCAAAAGAUAAUCUUCUCCAAUUUGCAACUGUGAACAUUUUAUUACAAACUUUUCUGUGCUUUUUGAACUAAAAAAAAAAAGAGAAGGGGAGAGAGAGAUGGAGAAAUAGAAACAUCACCAUACUCUAUUUUACCAGCAAUUCUGAAUCGAAGAAGUAAAGAACAUAAUCAUAAUGUCAAACUCGAAGAACGCUAUCUUCUAGGACUCAACAACACAAAGAUAUGGAGAACAUAUGGGUCUAGGAGGGAAGUGACAACAGUAUCCAUGUCGUCAGUAGUGAAUCACAUACCUGCAGCUCCUAUACUCAUUCCAGAUUGACCUUGGAAACAGGUGACUGGAAAUUUGUGUUCGAUCUUUUUAUCCAUGUUUUUCACAAUUGUUUUUCGGUGCAUAAUUUUUGAAUUGUAAUUGCUGUAUGUUUUUGUUUUAUGUAUCAUCUUUGGAGGUGUAGGUGUAAGAAAAAUCUAGACGUGGAAGUGGAGAGAAAGAUUACAAGGUAUUCUGAUGGUGAAGGUAGCUCAAUUUGUUUUAUCAAGUUUCAGGUGGUGUAAACAUGCUGCUGGAACUUUUGCUAAAGACUAAAGUGCCCAUCUUUGGAGCAGUCUCAUAUCUGGCAAUGGCUGUUCUUCUCAGUUGUGCUUUCUUUUAUGACAUAUUCCUAUCAGAAAUAUUGUGCUUAAUUUCUUGAGAACUAACUAUGCCAAAAAACAGAUGAGAGAGAAAAAAGAGAUACAGAGGAUCAAAGAAAGAGAGAGAUCCAACGACUAUGGGUGAGACCUUGAGAACUAAGGGAAGCAUUAACUGGGUGUUUUUUUCUUAAACAACUCACAAAAUUAUUUAAUUUUCUGGUGAGUUUUUGUUGUUUCAUUUUUUGAUUCUUUUUACAUAAUAUUGUUUUUUUUUUUUUUGUAUUUGAUCAUGUUUGUUGACUGCUAAAAUGUUUUUUUUUUUUGAUUUGGUGAUAUGUAUAAUUAUGAACGUUGUUGUCGUUUCAUGAUUUUAAGAUUUAGAGUGUCACAAUUUAUGCCUGGAUUCAUUUUCAGUCAAUUGUGUUUAAUGGGAUUUGAUGGAAUGUGGAGGAGAGUUCAAGGAGUAAAUAGAAGGUGACUGGGAUUUGAUGAUCCAAGAAGCAUGUUACUGCUGUCAAGGAAAGUUGUUCAUCUCCCCGCCGCUUACCAUGCCACAUUAUCCUUGGUAAUGCUUUUUGGUGAUUAACAGGAAUACAGGAUACCUCUCUGACUUUAAUUUUAAUUUACUUUGCGGAGGAAGAAUUUCAUAUGCAGCAGCAGCAUCUUCCUCCUUUUUCAUUUUUCCGGCAUAUCUGCUUACUCUGUAGCAUGGGAAGCCUAGCACAUUUCCUUCGUUCAGAUACUGCGGCGUCAAGAAUAAUGAUUUCUGCAAGUAGUAUUAUGUAUGAAAAACGACAUUAUAUAACUAAUUGUUUUAUAGAGAACGGGGUAUAUAUUGAUAUUACUGUCACCUCAUGGCUUAUUUCUUUUUGUUAGUAAAGUCACCAAAGUCAAUAAUAAUGUAUAACAGUAUAAGCAAACACUUAAUUAUAUUGUCAGACUUGAUCGUUUCA